RNAcentral lists this Y RNA (98 nucleotides) under Saimiri boliviensis boliviensis (Bolivian squirrel monkey). Its description in RNAcentral is "Y RNA (ENSSBOG00000006842.1)". It matches the Rfam family "Y RNA". Rfam says of the family: Y RNAs are components of the Ro ribonucleoprotein particle (Ro RNP), in association with Ro60 and La proteins. The Y RNAs and Ro60 and La proteins are well conserved, but the function of the Ro RNP is not known. In humans the RNA component can be one of four small RNAs -- hY1, hY3, hY4 and hY5. The record is from Rfam by way of RNAcentral. Lineage: Eukaryota; Metazoa; Chordata; Mammalia; Primates; Cebidae.
GGCGGGUCCGAGUGCAGUGGUGUUUACAGGUAAUUGAUCACAACCAGUUAUAGAUUCGUUUUUUUCUCACUCCCAUUGCUUCAUUUGACUAGCCUUAA